This is a long non-coding RNA of Macrobrachium nipponense, 440 nucleotides long. RefSeq lists it as uncharacterized. NCBI's taxonomy places the organism in Eukaryota, Metazoa, Arthropoda, Malacostraca, Decapoda, Palaemonidae. The transcript is spliced from 4 exons. The record is from RefSeq and is a predicted model, not a curated record.
UCAGACUGGCAUGCACCUGUGACUUACAUAAACCAGACCUCUACAUAGCCUACAUGUCUUCAUUUUGCUGAAGACUGCCCAUCAUCCUAGCCUGUUAUCUGUGAUAAAGCACACUGAAGUUAGGUUUGGAAUGCAUCCUUAUCAUGAAUGCUCUACACCUCCACCUCCAUCUCCCACAACCUAGGUAACAGCUUUGAGACUCACUAAAAGUUGAGUCCCCUGAAUGAUGUAGGCUAUGGGGCCACAUAAGACUUUGUCCAUCCAGGGUUACAUUGAACGACAACUUUAAACUAAAAAACCAACAUUUUUCACACAACUCCAGGUUGUUACUAACAAAUUACAAGUGUCAUCAAGGGAUAACUACAAGUAGAAGCACCAUUUUUGGAUGGAAAAAACCCUUCAGGAAAGUAUACGUAUCAAAUGUAACAUGUAGUGUAACA